Molecule: long non-coding RNA, 7259 nt
Organism: Nerophis ophidion (straightnose pipefish)
Lineage: Eukaryota; Metazoa; Chordata; Actinopteri; Syngnathiformes; Syngnathidae
Exons: 3
Source: RefSeq, a predicted model, not a curated record
CUUGGAUAGCAAAUGUUUACGGGCUCUGUCUUGUAUUCGUAACUAUCUUUUCACGCGUCCUCCAAAUCGGAGCUUCAAGUCUUGCAAAGCUACGGAAAGCACGAAGAAAGGAAAACCACGCCAACUAUCCCAAAAAAACCCCACAAACGACAACAACGUGAUUUUGCCAUUUUUCGACCACAGCUGAAGAGAAAAAAAUCACAACUAGUGCACAUUCUCCAGAAAGGCACACAGUAUUCCGAGGUUGACGUUCUCAUCGAUACUUCUUGUGCGGCCAUACAAUGUUUUUUUUGCUUAGCAUCUCAUAAAGGUGACUUAACUGUGUUCGCAGUAAAAAACAACUUUAUUUUUACUGUUUUGGGUGUACAAGAAAGUAGAUCCUCCGCAAAAUUGCUGACGUAAUAAUCGUAGGUAUUAUUCCUCUGAAUUAUAUUCACAAUGAGGACGUAUUUGAUACCAUAAAUACACAUUUCUGCAAUUUCAAUGUCCCAUAACAAUGCCCUGGCAUGCAUGGCUUUUUUUUGUUCUGGAUCAGGAUAUCUGUGAAACAGAUGGUUUCCUCCUCCAGCCCUUCCACAUCUUCAUCAGUUUCCUAGAGCUAUAGGACACAGUCUUCCACAUGCCUGUGCAGGGGGACCCACACAUUUAUCAUCACUAUACACAUAAUUUCAAAGCAUGUGCGAUACAAAAAAAGCUUACCGGCUGUCGCAAUGCCUUUGAUGCUUUGUGUUACACUGGAGGUCUUCACAAUAGAGGCGAUGCCUAUGAAACAUAAUUUGAUAUGUGAAUAACAAAAAAAAGAUGCUUAUAGACGGCGCCCUCUGCUGGUCUUAAGGUAGAAUUGCCGUCCAACAUUAACAUUCUUUCAUACAAAGACCAUCCAUCCAUCCAUUUUCUAACGUUUUAUUCCCUUUGGGGUCGCGGGGGGCGCUGGUGCUUAUCUCAACUACAGUGGGGCGGAAGGCGGGGUACACCCUGGACAAGUCGCCACCUUAUCGCAGGGCCAACACAGAUAGACAGACAACAUUCACACUCACAUUCACACACUAGGGCCAAUUUUAGUGUUGCCAAUCAACCUAUCCCACAAAGACCAAACCGGGUUAAAAGGCAGUGUCCAGUCACCUUGUUGUACAACACUUCCACAAUCUGGGUCCUGAGCGACUUGCAGAAGGAUCUCCUCCACGUCUCGGUUCUUCCCUGGAGGAUCAACCAGCUUGGUGAUCCUUUGCUGUAAAGUGCGGGGCAGCGCCAUCAACUGCGUGAACUGCCCUUCGGGGCUUUUGUCUACCUGGAGAGACACAGACAAGUGCUUUAAAAUAAAAAUAAAAACACUUCCCCGUUGGUUUUGCUCCAUAGAGCUUGUUGUUUUUCACCUCCAGUCUUCCUUGUUGGGGUUUGUAGACCACUUGAGGACAGUCCCGCAAGAUGUGAUUAUACAGAAUACGAAAGUGCUCAAUGUUGUCUCUCACGAUGUUGGCCACCUUGGAUUUAUCCUCUCCAAUCACCAUCCUGAAAUCACCUUGAGAGGGCCAGACCAAAUGUUUUCCAUGAUGGAUGGGAAAUGUCACGUGGAACAGCUGCGGCUGCUUCAUCCAUCAGUUUAAUGAGUUUCCAUGGUAUGCAUUGUGACUGGGCUCAAAACAUAUUUUUCAGUCUAUAAGGCACACUUAAAAUCCUUUUCAUUUUCUCAAAAAUCAACAGUGCGCCAUAUAACCGCAUAAUGUACGGCAUAAUUCUGUUUGUGCUUACUGACCUCGAAGCAAUUUUAUUUGGUACAUAAUGUAAUGAUAAAGGAAACCAGUAGAUGGGAGUCAUACAUAAGAUAUACGUGUAGACUGCAAUAUGAUGGCAGUAAACAACACCAAAACUUUAAACAUUUUCCAUUGAGAAUACAGAACAUUACACACGGUGCUUAAAAUUAGGGGCGCCCGAUAAUAUCGGACUGCUGUUAUCGGCCGAUAAAUGCUUUAAAAUGUAAUAUCGGAAAUGAUCGGUAUCUGUUUUAAAAAAAAGUAAAGUUUAUGACUUUUUCCAAACACCGCUGUGUACACGGAUGUAGGGAUAAGUACAGAGCGCCAAUAAACCUUAAAGGCACUGCCUUUGCGUGCCGGCCCAAUCACAGAAUAUCUAUGGCUUUUCACACACAAAAGUGAAUGCUAUGCAUACUUGGUCAACAGCCAUACAGGUCAUACUGAAGGUGACUGUAUAAACAACUUUAACACUGUUACAAAUAUGCGCCACACUGUGAACCCACGCCACACAAAAAUUACAAACAUUUCGGAAGAACAUCCGCACCGUAACACAACAUAAACACAACAGAACAUAUACCCAGAACCCCUAGCAGCACUAACUCUUCCGGGAUGCUACAAUAUACACCCCCCACAACCCCGCCCACCUCAACCUCCUCAUGCUCUCUCAGGGAGAGCAUGUCCCAAAUUCCAAACUACUGUUUUUAGGCAUAUUAAAAAAAUAGUGCACUUUGUGACUUCAAUAAUAAAUAUGGCUGUGCCAUGUUGGCAUUUUGUUUCCAUAACUUGAGUUGAUUUAUUUUGGAAAACCUUGUUACAUUGUUUAAUGCAUCCAGCGGGGCGUCACAACAAAAUUAGGCAUAAUAAUAAUGUGUUAAUUCCACGACUGUAUAUAUCGGUAUCGGUUGAUAUCGGAAUCGGUAAUUAAGAGUUGGACAAUAUCGGAUAUCGGCAAAAAAAUCCAUUAUCGGAUAGCUCUAAUAAAAAUCUGUCAAUAUGUAACCUGCUAUUUGGUGGAAGUAAGGACCAUAUUUUCCGGACUAAAAGGCGCACUUAAAAUAAUAUUUUUUUUCCUCAAAACUCAAUAGUUCUAGUUUUGCUUACUGACCUCUAAGCCAUGUUAUUCAGUACAUGAUGUUAAGUGUGAUCAGUAGAUGGCAGUCAAACAGAGAUAUGUGUCGACUGCACUAUGAUAGCAAUAUGACUCAAGUAAACAACACCAACAUUGUAUUUGUUCAAUUGAGAAAAUAGAACAUUCCACAUGGCGCUUUAAAAUCUAUCAAAAUGUUUUAUACGACUUCGGUAAGCUAUGCAGCUGCACCGUUUGAUGGUUUGUCAGCGCAUUAAACAUACGAGUAUUAUUAAGGUGCGUGUUUAAGGACCGCAAAAUAGCACCAAUCAAGAGACAUAUUACCUGCCGUUUUGAUUUGCAAUAUUAUGUAAAACAACUUUUCUUACCUUCUGGUACCUGCUGAUGUUUAUUUGGGAUCUGCAUAAGUCCUAAAAAUGUGCGCGCGUCCGCCGUUGUAGUCCAUACCGACACCGUAGUCAUAAGCUUCUUGUUUUUUCUACCUUCUUAUGUGACAUUCAUCUUCCGCUGUUGCCAUUUCUAAUAUAAAGUACUGUAAAGUUCUUACUUAUAUCUGUCAAGAGACCAGCUAUCAAAGCGUUAAAAACUGUGGUGCGUUUAUAUAAUUCACCAACAGAACUUUAGUUAUCAGAGGGUUCCGGUCGGACGUUUUUCCACGGGACAUAUUUCCGGCGUUGUUGUUGCAUUAUUGAGCCACGGAUGAGGAGAUGCUGUUUCGUUAUUGAUUUACAUAAAGUCUGAAUGUCAUUAAAACACUUAGCACCAUUUUUGACACUUCUUCCACUGCCGUCCUUGCACGCUACACCGCUACAACAAAGAUGACGGGGAGAAGACGCAGUUGAAGGUGAGCCACGUAAAUAAGACCGCCAACAAAACGGCGCAUUCUGAAGAGACGUUCACAAAGCGGCUUGAAGAUGAUCAGUAAAACAAUCUAUGCAACAUUUUGACCAACGAACCACCAUUACAUGUUAUGUAGAGCACAAGAUAGUGUUUUAAAUUCAGAAAAAAAAACAUAAUUACUCCUUUAAUGCGCCUUUUGAAUGAAAAAACACCUGAAUAGCCAUCGGCAGUGCGACUUUUAAUCCGGUGCGCCCUAUGGUUCGAAAAAUUUGGUAGAUUCUCAAUGUGAUAAUUAAUGAUGAUUUAAUUCACGCAGUCAUCCAACCCUCCCAGCUACACAGCUGUUAAACGUUAGAGGAAAAUGUGUUUAGCUGUGACAAUACUUUACCAGCAUAAGAAAGGCCAGCUAUCUGCAGGAAAAGUUCCUCCUGGCUGAAACUCUCAGGCAGCAUAAGGAAGGAGGCCGUCACCGCGCUCUUGAGGUUGGCGACCAGAGCGGCACGGAGCUUUCCAUUCUCACUCUGCAACAGCAUCUUCACCUGCAUAGAAGAAUGUGCGUAGAUACUCAUUUGCGGAGCGGAUGUUCCGAUACCUACUGAAAUAUCAAUACUGCAGAUAUCAAAUCUUUAUGUUCUAAUAUUGAUCCUCAAAUCAAAAUAUUGAUACUUUUAAUUAGAGAUGUCCAGAGAUUGCUGGAGAUGGCUACCUCCGAAUAUCCGUACUCUGAGUGGGAAAACGCUGCUCAGAUUUAUCGCUAAGUCAUAAAUGGUAUAAAACCAGCCAGCUUUGAUAAAGUGAAUGACCCUGAGGUUAAAUAGAUAAUUCAAGAUUGUAUGUCGGCAUGUUUAAAAAAUAAAUAAUAAUAAUGCACUUUGUGAUAGCCAAAGUAUAGUAUUUCCCAUAGUUGUAGUGGGUGUCAGGAUUAUGAGCAUGUCCCAAGUUCCAAGCUGCUGUUUUGAGGCAUGUUAAAAAAAAAAAUGCACUUUGUGACUUCAAUAAUAAAUAUGGCAGUGCCAUGUUGGCACGUUUUUCCAUAACUUGAGUUGAUUUAUUUUGGAAAACCUUGUUACAUUGUUUAAUGCAUCCAGCGGGGCAUCACAACAAAAUGUGUCAAUUCCACGACUGUAUACAUCGGUAUCGGUUGAUAUCGCAAUCUGUAAUUAAGAGCUGGACAAUAUCGGAAUAUUGGAUAUCGGCAAUAAAAGCAUAUCAUCUCUACUUUUAAUACUUUAGUUCAGGGGUGUCCAAUCUUUUUCCACUAAGGGCAGCAUACUGAAAAGUGAAGGUAAGUGGGGCCAUAUUAAAUUUUUUCAUUUAAAAAAAAAAUGCUGAAAACAGAUAUUUUGUUUAGAAUAUUUAAACUUUUUCUCACUAGUUAUCAAUUUUUUUUCUCUUUUUUUCUUACAUUUUUACUAGUGUUUUUCUCCACUGCAAGAAUACAAUAAAAAAAAAAAUAAUACGAUUGUUUAACUGCAUAACCUACUGUUCUAAAAGUUCUGCCUGUACAAAAAUAUCAGAUACACAUUAAACAGUGUUUUUUAUUUUUCAAAUUAAUUCAAAAGUUAAUAUUAUUGUAUUUUUUACCUAAAAAUCAAACAUUGUUUGUAUUUUGAGAAUUUUUUAUUUUUUUUGAGAAGGUGUUUUAGGUCAGGGGUGUCUAAACUUUUUCCAUCAGGGGCCGUCCUAAGUGAUUUCUCCAAAUUACAACUGGGCUUCGUUGUGAUGAAACCACAGGAACGGGUUGUUCUACCAGUAGUUUGUCAACUUGACGGCCACAUUUAGCCGUGUUGUUAGCAUUGCAUGUCAUUCUACAUCGCUCCUGCAAAAGGCUGACUAAUGUCAUGUGGAGCUGAUGGUGUCAAUAAAGAAGUUAAUCAACAGCAUUUACAGUAUCUCCACUUAGCAUUACCAGCUGCUGACAGCGGUCUCUCAGUCACACCGAGUCCUGGUGAGCUUCGCGUUGCGUCUUUUGACGUUGUUCGCGUCAAAGGCUCAUUAAUGUGGAGAUGUGUUGUUGAUGAAGCAGGAGUUGAAGAUGAAGUCCAUUAAAAAGUUGUUCUGCCGAAAGCUGGUUGAGCUACAUUGUCGCAGUGAAGAAAAGUAGCGCUAAGAUUAGCCGCCUGUCAUCAGCAUUGCUCACCCUCAACCUGGAAAAGCAAUUCCCGCUUGGUGAAUAUCUUCAUCAAUCAUAACUAUAUCUUCAUCAAUCAUAACUAUAAUAAUGCAAGCUUAUGACUACGGCGUCGGUAUGGACUACAACGGCGGACUCGCGCACAUUUUUAGGACUUAUGCAGAUCAUCUUACUUAUAUCUGUCAAGAGACCAGCUAUUAAAGCGCUAAAAACUGUAGUGCGUGUACAUAAUUCACCCACGGAACUUUAGUUAUUAGAGGGUCAUGUUGGACCUGCUCGACAUCCAUUGCUUUCCUCCUCUCCAAGGUUCUCAUAGUCAUCAUUGUCACCGACGUCCCACUGGGUGUGAGUUUUCCUUGCCCUUAUGUGGGCCUACCGAGGAUGUCGUAGUGGUUUGUGCAGCCCUUUGAGACACUAGUGAUUUAGGGCUAUAUAAGUAAACAUUGAUUGAUUGAUUGAAUGAUGUUUUAAUAAUAAGGUUUCUCAUUUUCCCAUUGGGUUGAGUUUUUCCUUGCCCAACGAGGAUGUUGUUGUGGCUUGUGCAGCCCAUUGAGACACUCGUGAUUUAGGAAUAUAUAAAUAAACAUUGUUAAUUGAAUAAUAAUAAAAAAUAGGAAAACACCCCACUGUAGUACAUGAAAGGACAAAUCGAAUUUAAUUCAAUACUUUAAUUUCAGCCUUUAAUAUGUAAAAUAUGCUCAAUGUUUUUUCUAAAUUCACGCCGAAAUAUUUUAAGUACAAUAUGGAGAGGGACAACUGUAUUGUUCUUUAGAAUUAAUCCAAGAAAAAAAAAAAAGCAGAUAUGACAAAGUUGCAGCAUUUUAAGAGUAAAGUUGUUCAGUUACCAAGGGGGAAAUUUCCGUGUAAAAUUAAGUCGUUAUUUUAAUCCCCCAAUUUUUUUUAUAAAGUCACAAUUAAGCCCUAAUUUUGCAGACUGAACGUGGUAAAAUCCAAUCUUUGUCUCACUACUUGCUUUAUAAUAGCUGGGUAAUAUCAUAAAUAAAUAAUUAAAUAAAUAUUUUCUCAGAAAAAUAUGUUUCUUUGCAUAACAGUGACUUUAUCCUCAUAAAUGUAGGAUUUUUAUGUAGUAAAAAACAAAGCUUUGUUCCUUUUUACUGGUAAUAACACAACUUUAAAAAAAAUAGAAUAUGAUUUUUUUUUUCCUCCUGUUGAAUUCCUCCUGAAGAAUACAAUGAUUUGCGAAUCCUUUACAACCUAUAUUCAUAUGAAUAGACUACAAAGACAAGAUACUUAACGUUCGAACUGAGAAACGUUGUUAUUUUUUGCAAAUAUUAGCUCAUUUGGAAUUUGAUGACUGCAACAUGUUUCAAAAAAGCUGGCACAAUUGGCAAAAAAGACGGAGAAAGUUCAGGAAUCCUCAUCAAACACUGAUUUGGAACAUCCCAAAAAAUGAUUAUUUGCAAGUUUCUCAGUUGGAACAUUAAAUAUC